GUAACUGACGCUGAGGAGCGAAAGGGUGGGGAGCAAACAGGCUUAGAUACCCUGGUAGUCCACCCCGUAAACGUUGGGAACUAGUUGUGGGGACCAUUCCACGGUUUCCGUGACGCAGCUAACGCAUUAAGUUCCCCGCCUGGGGAGUACGGCCGCAAGGCUAAAACUCAAAGGAAUUGACGGGGACCCGCACAAGCGGCGGAGCAUGCGGAUUAAUUCGAUGCAACGCGAAGAACCUUACCAAGGCUUGACAUACACCAGAACGGGCCAGAAAUGGUCAACUCUUUGGACACUGGUGAACAGGUGGUGCAUGGUUGUCGUCAGCUCGUGUCGUGAGAUGUUGGGUUAAGUCCCGCAACGAGCGCAACCCUCGUUCUAUGUUGCCAGCACGUAAUGGUGGGAACUCAUGGGAUACUGCCGGGGUCAACUCGGAGGAAGGUGGGGAUGACGUCAAAUCAUCAUGCCCCUUAUGUCUUGGGCUUCACGCAUGCUACAAUGGCCGGUACAAAGGGCUGCAAUACCGUGAGGUGGAGCGAAUCCCAAAAAGCCGGUCCCAGUUCGGAUUGAGGUCUGCAACUCGACCUCAUGAAGUCGGAGUCGCUAGUAAUCGCAGAUCAGCAACGCUGCGGUGAAUACGUUCCCGGGUCUUGUACACACCGCCCGUC
RNAcentral lists this ribosomal RNA (665 nucleotides) under Microbacterium sp. RNAcentral describes it as "bacterial SSU rRNA". It matches the Rfam family "Bacterial small subunit ribosomal RNA", at positions 736 to 1398 of the family's 1533-position model. Lineage: Bacteria; Bacillati; Actinomycetota; Actinomycetes; Micrococcales; Microbacteriaceae. The record is from RNAcentral.